Long non-coding RNA from Sphaeramia orbicularis (orbiculate cardinalfish), 173 nucleotides. RefSeq lists it as uncharacterized. The record is from RefSeq and is a predicted model, not a curated record. The transcript is spliced from 3 exons. NCBI's taxonomy places the organism in Eukaryota, Metazoa, Chordata, Actinopteri, Kurtiformes, Apogonidae.
UCAUUUUACAGUCUUUAUCACUCGUGCCUCACAGCAAGAAGGUCCAGGGUUUGAUUCCAAUACCAGUCGAUGGGGAUAGGACCUUUCUGUGUGGAGUUUGCAUGUUCUCCCCGUGUCUGCGUGGGUUCUCUCCGGGUACUCCGGCUUCCUCCCACCAUCCAAAGACAUGCACU